Molecule: non-coding RNA, 74 nt
Organism: Podarcis lilfordi (Lilford's wall lizard)
Lineage: Eukaryota; Metazoa; Chordata; Lepidosauria; Squamata; Lacertidae
Source: the annotation of a GenBank genome assembly
GCCUGGUUAGCUCAGUUGGUUAGAGUGUGGUGCUAAUAAUGCCAAGGUUGCAAGUUUGAUCCCCAUAUUGGACA